UACGGAGGAUGCGAGCGUUAUCCGGAUUUAUUGGGUUUAAAGGGUGCGUAGGCGGACUGUCAAGUCAGCGGUAAAAUUGAGAGGCUCAACCUCUUCCCGCCGUUGAAACUGGUGGUCUUGAGUGGAUGAGAAGUACGCGGAAUGCGUGGUGUAGCGGUGAAAUGCAUAGAUAUCACGCAGAACUCCGAUUGCGAAGGCAGCGUACCGGCAUCCAACUGACGCUGAGGCACGAUAGCGUGGGGAUCAAACAGG
This 252-nucleotide ribosomal RNA is filed under the name uncultured bacterium. RNAcentral describes it as "partial 16S ribosomal RNA". It matches the Rfam family "Bacterial small subunit ribosomal RNA", at positions 524 to 776 of the family's 1533-position model. The record is from RNAcentral.